AAUUGUCAGCCGCCGCGCGGUAAUACGUAGACCUCAAGCGUUAUUCGGAUUUAUUGGGCGUAAAGCGUGUGUAGGAGGUUUUAUAAGUCGGACGUUAAAUUUCAGAGCCUAACUUUGAAGCCGCGUUCGAUACUGUAAGACUUGAGGGUACUAGAGGUGCAUGGAACACAUGGUGUAGGGGUGACAUCCGUUGAUAUCAUGUGGAACACCAAAGGCGAAGGCAGUGCACUGGGGUACUCCUGACUCUGAGACACGAAAGCGUGGGGAGCAAAAAGGAUUAGAUACCCUUGUAGUCCACGCUGUAAACGAUGCCCGCUAGCUGUUCCGAGUAUCGACCCUCGGAGUGGCGUAGCUAACGCGUUAAGCGGGCCGCCUGGGAAGUACGGCCGCAAGGCUAAAACUCAAAGGAAUAGACGGGGACUCGCACAAGCGGUGGAGCAUGAGGUUUAAUUCGAUGAUAAGCGAGGAACCUUACCAGGGCUUGAAUUUCUACUGACAGCUUCCAGAAACGGAGGCCUUCCUUCGGGACAGUAGAACAGGUGCUGCAUGGUUGUCGUCAGCUCGUGUCUUGAGAUGUUUCAUUAAGUUGAUUAACGAGCGCAACCCCUAUUGCGUGUUACAAGUGUCACGCGAAACUGCCCUACUCUGUAGGGAGGAAGGAGGGGAUGACGUCAAAUCCGCAUGGCCCUCUGAUGCCCUGGGCCACACUCGUGCUACAAUGGCCGGUAUAAUGGGUUGCCAAAGCGUAAGCUGGAGCUAAUCCCAUCAAAGCCGGCCCCAGUUCGGAUUGAGGGCUGCAACUCGCCCUCAUGAAGCCGGAAUCGCUAGUAAUCGCGGAUCAGCCAUGCCGCGGUGAAUACGUUCUCGAGUCUUGCACACACCGCCCGUCAAAUCGGCCUGUAUGCGAUUUCCUCUACGCAUCUUUGCGACUGGUCUGUAGGCGCUGAUAAACAGCCGAACGCCACACCCUGAGGACUGACGAGUUGUUCGGAUCGCUCAAACAACUGGAAU
RNAcentral lists this ribosomal RNA (1011 nucleotides) under uncultured bacterium. Its description in RNAcentral is "bacterial SSU rRNA". It matches the Rfam family "Bacterial small subunit ribosomal RNA", at positions 503 to 1533 of the family's 1533-position model. The record is from RNAcentral.